Molecule: ribosomal RNA, 253 nt
Filed under: uncultured bacterium
Lineage: Bacteria
Description: partial 16S ribosomal RNA
Rfam family: Bacterial small subunit ribosomal RNA
Source: RNAcentral
UACAGGGGGGGCAAGCGUUGUUCGGAAUUACUGGGCGUAAAGGGUUCGUAGGUGGCUUGCUAAGUCAGACGUGAAAUCCCUCAGCUUAACUGGGGAACUGCGUCUGAUACUGGCGAGCUUGAGUGCAGGAGAGGAACGCGGAAUUCCAGGUGUAGCGGUGAAAUGCGUAGAUAUCUGGAGGAACACCGGUGGCGAAGGCGGCGUUCUGGACUGCAACUGACACUGAUGAACGAAAGCCAGGGGAGCAAACGGG